GCCGCUGUGGCGGAAUAGGCAGACGCAAGGGACUUAAAAUCCCACGGUGGCAACACCGUACCGGUUCAAGUCCGGUCAGCGGCACCA
Molecule: transfer RNA, 87 nt
Filed under: Clostridia bacterium
Lineage: Bacteria; Bacillati; Bacillota; Clostridia
Description: tRNA-Leu
Rfam family: tRNA
About the family: Transfer RNA (tRNA) molecules are approximately 80 nucleotides in length. Their secondary structure includes four short double-helical elements and three loops (D, anti-codon, and T loops).
Source: RNAcentral